This 118-nucleotide microRNA precursor is filed under the name Podarcis lilfordi (Lilford's wall lizard). Lineage: Eukaryota; Metazoa; Chordata; Lepidosauria; Squamata; Lacertidae. The record is from RNAcentral.
GGUUGUAUCCAACCUAGUUCUACUAAUAGCAGACCCACUGAAAUUCAUGGACCUAAAUUAGUCAUUUCCAUUAAUUUCAGUGUGUCUACUUUGAGUAGGACUAGUAUUGGAUAUAAUC